GAUGAACGCUAGCGGCAGGCUUAACACAUGCAAGUCGAGGGGCAGCGUAUUUUGUAGUAAUACAAGAUGAUGGCGACCGGCGCACGGGUGCGUAACGCGUAUUCAACCUACCAUAUACAGGGGGAUAACUUUUCGAUAGGGAGCCUAAUACCCCAUAGUAUUAUUUUAAGGCAUCUUGCAAUAAUUAAAGAUUAAUUGGUCUAUGAUGGGCAUGCGUGUCAUUAGCUAGUUGGUAAGGUAACGGCUUACCAAGGCGACGAUGACUAGGGGUUCUGAGAGGAAGAUCCCCCACACUGGUACUGAGACACGGACCAGACUCCUACGGGAGGCAGCAGUGAGGAAUAUUGGUCAAUGGGCGAGAGCCUGAACCAGCCAUGCCGCGUGCAGGAAGACGGCCCUAUGGGUUGUAAACUGCUUUUAUGUGAGGAUAAACCUAUUCUUGCGAGAGUAGCUGAAGGUAUCACAUGAAUAAGGAUCGGCUAACUCCGUGCCAGCCGCCGCAGUAA
Molecule: ribosomal RNA, 506 nt
Filed under: uncultured bacterium
Lineage: Bacteria
Description: partial 16S ribosomal RNA
Rfam family: Bacterial small subunit ribosomal RNA
Source: RNAcentral